Molecule: long non-coding RNA, 458 nt
Organism: Mauremys reevesii (Reeves's turtle)
Lineage: Eukaryota; Metazoa; Chordata; Testudines; Geoemydidae
Exons: 5
Source: RefSeq, a predicted model, not a curated record
GCUCUGAAAGCAAAAGAAUUGCACAGGUAUCACUUAAGGCAGAAUUUGGCCUUCAGAAAUAUUGUAAUUGGUGUUCACGUCUGAUAUGGAAAGAAUCCAGCCUGUCUCUCAGAGCCCAGGGCUUCAGACAAGGACGCCAUUCGGAGACAACACUUGCUGCCCUGCUGGAUGAAUGCUUCCUUUUCCACAGACUGGUUCAGAAUUCAAUAACCAUUCCAGGAUAGAUGAUAAUGGAAUUGGUGAAGACAGCGGUGCUAUGUAAAGAGCCAACUUUCCAUCACGCUGGCACUCAGUAUGACACUAACCUGCAGGACAAAGGAAAAUGUGGUCUAAUUAUAAAUCUCCAGAGAAAACACUGAAGUGGAAUUUAAACAUUGUCACAGUCAGUGAUUUCAAGUCUGUUUUCCAAAGCUGAGCAGCUAAAAGCAAAUCUGAUACAGUCCUGUACUAUAAGUAAG